AGUGAACGCUGGCGGUAGGCCUAACACAUGCAAGUCGAACGGCAGCACAGUAAGAGCUUGCUCUUACGGGGGGCGAGUGGCGGACGGGUGAGGAGUGCAUCGGAAUCUACUUUUUCGUGGGGGAUAACGUAGGGAAACUUACGCUAAUACAGCAUACGACCUACGGGUGAAAGCAGGGGAUCUUCGGACCUUGCGGGAUUGAAUGAGCCGAUGUCGGAUUAGCUAGUUGGCGGGGGAAAGGCCAACCAAGGCGACGAUACGUGGCUCGUCUGAGAGACUGGUCAGCGACCUUGGAACGUAGACACGGUCAAUACUCCUACGGUACGGAGCAGAGGGCAAUAGUGGACAACAGGCGCAAACAUGAUCCAGCCAGCCCACGUGGGAGACGACGGCCUUCGGGUUGUAAUGACCUCUUUUUGGGAAAGAAACGCAGCCGGCUGAUACCCCGCUUUUCUGACGGUACCCAGAGAAUAAGCACCGGCUAACUUCGUG
Molecule: ribosomal RNA, 492 nt
Filed under: uncultured bacterium
Lineage: Bacteria
Description: partial 16S ribosomal RNA
Rfam family: Bacterial small subunit ribosomal RNA
Source: RNAcentral